UACGUAGGGUGCGAGCGUUGUCCGGAAUUAUUGGGCGUAAAGGGCUCGUAGGCGGUUUGUCGCGUCGGGAGUGAAAUCCACUGGCUUAACUGGUGGCUUGCUUUCGAUACGGGCAGACUGGAGGUAUGCAGGGGAGAACGAAUUCCUGGUGUAGCGGUGAAAUGCGCAGAAUAUCAGGAGGAACACCGGUGGCGAAGGCGGUUCUCUGGGCAUGUCCUGACGCUGAGGAGCGAAAGUGUGGGGAGCGAACAGGA
Molecule: ribosomal RNA, 254 nt
Filed under: uncultured bacterium
Lineage: Bacteria
Description: partial 16S ribosomal RNA
Rfam family: Bacterial small subunit ribosomal RNA
Source: RNAcentral